ACGAACGCUGGCGGCGUGCCUAAUACAUGCAAGUCGAGCGAACCAAUAAGAAGCUUGCUUUUUGUUGGUUAGCGGCGGACGGGUGAGUAACACGUGGGUAACCUGCCUGUAAGACCGGGAUAACUCCGGGAAACCGGUGCUAAUACCGGAUAGAUUAUCUUUCCGCAUGGAGAGAUAAGGAAAGAUGGCUAUUGCCAUCACUUACAGAUGGGCCCGCGGCGCAUUAGCUAGUUGGUGAGGUAACGGCUCACCAAGGCGACGAUGCGUAGCCGACCUGAGAGGGUGAUCGGCCACACUGGGACUGAGACACGGCCCAGACUCCUACGGGAGGCAGCAGUAGGGAAUCUUCCGCAAUGGACGAAAGUCUGACGGAGCAACGCCGCGUGAGCGAAGAAGGUCUUCGGAUCGUAAAGCUCUGUUGUUAGGGAAGAACAAGUAUCGGAGGAAAUGCCGGUACCUUGACGGUACCUGACGAGAAAGCCACGGCUAACUACGUG
This 497-nucleotide ribosomal RNA is filed under the name uncultured bacterium. Its description in RNAcentral is "partial 16S ribosomal RNA". It matches the Rfam family "Bacterial small subunit ribosomal RNA", at positions 29 to 507 of the family's 1533-position model. The record is from RNAcentral.